AAGGUCAUUGUUUACCACUUAAAUGUGGACUCAAAUCAUUACCCGAUUAGAUAGAAGAAAUAGAGUUUUGUAAGGUUCCGAUAACAUAGUGGAAUAUAAAUUUUAAAAGAAAAUUAUAUAUAUUCAACAAUUGAAAACAAGUUUAACAAUUAAACUAGACUACCAAAACACAAAAGCUCUAGGAACACCUUGAUGAUUGCAAUUAAAUAAUAUAAGCAUAUAUAAC
RNAcentral lists this long non-coding RNA (226 nucleotides) under Elaeis guineensis (African oil palm). Its description in RNAcentral is "long non-coding RNA (EGUI_LNC062129)". Lineage: Eukaryota; Viridiplantae; Streptophyta; Magnoliopsida; Arecales; Arecaceae. The record is from RNAcentral.